CCGUUUGCACUGCGCGUCCCGUGGCCAGACUGCAAACCACAACUGUUUCUAUGGUGCUACAUCAGAGGCCAAGGAGCAGCCAAUCAGACGGCUCGUGUGGGAGCAUGUGGGUUGUGGUGGCUGAGAGAGUGAGUUGCUGAACUUACUUUUGGUUUGCUGUGGAGUUGCUGCAGGGAGGAGGACAGAGAGCUCUUCACUCAGACAAGAGGAGAGGACAACUCAUCAUUUUCAAUGGAAUGACUACUAGUUUCUGUCCAGAGUCAGUGUGGUUGGUGUGCCUUUGAAGCUAUUGAGAUCAAUCACUUCCAUUUGUAUUGUGAUACAUCAGUUGCUUCAUGUUAUAUGGGUGGGAGGUGAGCAAACGAGGAGGAAGGGUCAGAAAGAAUUAGUUUUUGACAUCUGGACAGAACUUGAGCUGUGGAGAGAAGAUUGAGUUGCCAUGGCUGAUAAUGUUAUUGAAGAGAGCGGUAAUUACCCUGGAAAGGAUGAGCUGGACUGGGGAUAUGAAGAAGGUGUUGAAUGGGGUCUUCUGUUUCCUGAGGCCAAUGGAGAGUACCAGUCCCCCAUAAACCUCAACUCACGCGAGGCUCGCUAUGACCCGAGGCUGCUGGAGGUGGGGCUUAACCCAAACUAUGUGGUCUGCCGGGACUGUGAAGUCAUUAAUGAUGGUCACACUGUGAGGAUCAUGCUUAAAUCCAAAUCUGUUGUGACUGGAGGUCCUCUCCCCAGUGACCAUGAGUACGAGCUGAGCGAGGUGCGCUUUCACUGGGGCAAAGAGAACCAGAGGGGAUCCGAACACACUGUCAACUUCAAGGCUUUUCCAAUGGAGCUUCAUCUAAUACACUGGAACUCUACAUUAUUCAACAGCGUGGAGGAGGCCAUGGGCAAGAAAAGAGGCAUUCUCAUCAUCGCCCUGUUUGUGCAGGUUGGGAAGGAACAUCUUGGUCUGAAGGCCAUCACAGACGUCCUGCAGGACCUGCAGUAUAAGGGGAAGACAAAAAUAAUUCCAUGUUUUAACCCCAACACAUUACUGCCUGAUCCUCUAUUAAGAGAUUACUGGGUGUAUGAGGGCUCUUUAACCACUCCACCCUGUAGUGAGAACGUCACCUGGAUUCUGUACCGUUACCCUCUGACCAUCUCUCAGAUGCAGAUUGAAGAGUUUCGUCGUCUCAGGUCGCAUGUUAAAGGAGCAGAGCUUCCAGAAGGCAAUGACGGGAUGCUGGGGGACAACUUUAGACCGACCCAACCACUGAGCGACAGGGUGGUCAGGGCAGCUUUCCAGUAACACCUCCGCAGCGGGACCAUUUUAAUCUGCCAUGGUGACAAAUGAGAUACUGGAUCUAUUAGACAUGACAAAGAAAUCAAGAUAAAGGCUGAACAACAUCCUGGCUAUGUGAAAGUUCAUCACUUCCUCUAGCGCUGGGCAUCCUUUUCUAUUUCAGUGUCCUGAGUGCGGCCCAAUGUGUGCAGAAGCUACUUUUACAUUUCAUUUGAAACACAUUAAAACUGGAAGCUGGAGAAAGCCAGUGAGCAUGAAGAAACACUCUGUGAUACGUUUGUAUGAAGAAGGACUUACGCUUGAAGAAUGUUGCUAGAAUUUAACAACAUGUAGCAUGUGUGUAAUCUUAUAAAUGCUGCUUUAUAGGAAUAUCAUACAAUAACUGGCACAUGAUGUUGGCAUUACUGACAAACUUAAUAUUACAUGAACAGAUACCGUUUACUGAUGUUUUCAUGUCUGUGCAUUGAACGCUUUUAAAUGUUAUAAUUGAAAUUAAUUAAUGCUGUUGAAUUUACUGAUUUACUAAAGCUCCAAACAUUGUUUUGAUGAGUUUAUUUUCUUUACCUGUGCUACAAUGAACAGAAUAUGAAGGACCAUGUAUGUAUUAGACACUGUUAGUGUUAGCUUUAGAUCUGCACUGAUAGUCUGUACUAGUUAUUAUGCUCACAUCUGCAUAUUUAAGAAGGUGGCACACAGCAUUUCCACUGGUCUUUUGUUCUGUAAUUAUCUUGCUUUAUGCAACGUUUUAGAAAGGUUGCCCAUUUGUAGAGCUGCAAAAAAGGAAACAUGAUUCAUUGAGAGAUAUGUGUGUCUGUAUGUCUUUUUUUUUUAACAUGACGAGCCACAGAUUGUGCAGUUCUCAUGGGAAACCACGUUCAGAUAAAAAGAACUGCUGUUGCGUACCUUGAAAUCCCCUUUGCAUGAUAAUGAUUGACAUCUAAGGGCAAGGAUCUGCAGCCUGGCAUUUACAACAGAAAUCAGACUGUCAUUGCUCACUGGGAUUUCCACUGUAUAUUUUGUGCAGCAGUACUCAUGUUGUCACAUGCUUAUGUUUAUAUUUUAAUUAAAGGUAAUGCUUUUAAUGCAUUUUAUGUUACACCUUGUUAUAUUAAAAGGCUAUGUGUCAUUCAUUUUUUAAUUAGGGCUGUUAAUGGAUUAAACAUUUUUU
RNA transcript from Danio aesculapii, 2447 nucleotides. It is a transcript of the gene named carbonic anhydrase VIII, with no coding region annotated. Lineage: Eukaryota; Metazoa; Chordata; Actinopteri; Cypriniformes; Danionidae. The transcript is spliced from 10 exons. The record is from RefSeq and is a predicted model, not a curated record.